CCCUUAGAUGUUCUGGGCCGCACGCGCGCUACACUGAUGCAUUCAACGAGCCUAUCCUUGACCGACAGGUCCGGGUAAUCCUUGAAUCUGCAUCGUGACGGGGAUAGAUUAUUGCAAUUAUUAAUCUUCAACGAGGAAUGCCUAGUAGGCGCAAGUCAUCAGCUUGCGUCGAUUACGUCCCUGCCCUUUGUACACACCGCCCGUCGCUCCUACCGAUUGGGUGUGCUGGUGAAAUGUUCGGAUCGGCCGUUUGUCGCGGUUUCCGCGUCAUGUGGCUGAGAAGUUCAUUAAACCCUCCCACCUAGAGGAAGGAGAAGUCGUAACA
This 325-nucleotide ribosomal RNA is filed under the name uncultured eukaryote. Its description in RNAcentral is "partial 18S ribosomal RNA". It matches the Rfam family "Eukaryotic small subunit ribosomal RNA", at positions 1470 to 1796 of the family's 1831-position model. The record is from RNAcentral.